UCUACCCAAAUAUUAUACAAAUUUCUCACUAGACAAAAUAAGCCACUUGUAGAUUCAAGGAAUCGGUCUCAAUUAUGCCGAGAUACAAACCCCCUUCUCUCUGCACUGCCAGGAUAAUUGCUGGUAUGACUAUCAAGAACUUCUCUACUGUACAGCAAAAGCAGAUUCCUUGGGGAAAUUCAUGAAUUGAUAUCAGUUUGCCAACUACUCUAAUUUUUCUGGGAUCAUAACUACACGACUCCUCUGUUAAUGCCCUACAUCAGAUCCAGAUGCUGAGGAGCUGUCACUAUCAGAAUCACUUGAAGAAGAUCCAGAGUCACUGCUAGAGCUGCUAGAACUACUUGACCUAGUUCCAUUAUCUCCCUGUUUCUCUACUUGAACAGGUGACGAAGUGGAAACAUUCCCUUCAUCUGUUUUGGUUUCCAGUGGUGCCUCUGCCACAACUGGUGCUG
RNAcentral lists this unclassified non-coding RNA (452 nucleotides) under Hevea brasiliensis (rubber tree). The record is from RNAcentral. Lineage: Eukaryota; Viridiplantae; Streptophyta; Magnoliopsida; Malpighiales; Euphorbiaceae.